CAGGCAGGGCAGCUGGAAGACCGGCGAGAAGGAGAACGGUUCCUCUGAGGAGGAGAAAAAGCUGGAGGAGAAAGUGGAGGAGAACAGCCAAAAAGCUGAGGUGUAAAGAAAGAGCAAGCAUCCUGUGGGAAUGUGAAAGUGAGAACGUGGAACUUUUGCACAUUUCUCUUCACCUCUGUCUUUGGAAGAAAAAAAGAAAAGAAAAACACAUGUACAUUGAUAUGAAGAUGGUUUGGAUUUGGUUUCAGGGAGAAUUUUACUCAACAGCAUAUCCAAACACCACCACCCCCCCUCCCCUUCAGAGCCCCCAUGACCUCUCACCCCUCCAUUCCCUUAAGAAAAAAAAAAAAGAAAAGAAAUGAAUGGAAACUGUAUGUGAUUAUACAUAACUCGUCUGCACUACUGAUACAUGUGUAAACUCGUCUAUUAGGAUUCAUGUUUGUUAGAAUGGAACUUUUGGGAAACUGAGAAGAUUUGAAUCUUUUUUUGGUUUUGUUAGUCAAUGCAAGUAAAAUGACUUCUAGACCAGUUGCCUUUUGUUGUUGAGGACGUGUAGGCCUGAUUUAGUCCACGUUUGACUCUUUCGGCCCUCAGAGACAUAGUCGGGCCCGAGGGGACGUCAUUGCCACCGCUUCUUUGUUUUACGUCAUCGAAGUCAAACGAAGUCGAAGUCUGCCUUUAAAUAAAUCUGUUCAUUCAUUAUAAGCCAGGCGUUAAUAAGGUCACGAAAAUUUGAGAUAAGACUCCUGAAAGGGCUAAGGGUAUAUUGUUAUACUCGGCAUUAGGAAUAGAUGGUAAUCUGAUUUACAUGCAGGAAGUAGGUGAUGUGAGUUCUUUGGUGUUACAUGAUUUUCUUGUUAUUUGAUUGUGUGUACCUUCAUGGAAAGUAACCACGAGAGAAAAAUGACGCAAUGUCAUUCUUGCCCGUCUCUUUUUUUUGUUUUUUCAAUCCAUUGUACAUUCAACAUAGCCACUGUAAUUACACAAGCAGGUAGAUUAUUGAGAGAAUGUAUGAGCUUAAUUAAACCCACUGGCUUUAGUUUGAAUGCACAGAUUCUUUUACAUAAAGUGUUUUUUUUGUUUUCUGAUUCCCAGGGGAAUGUCCUCAAGCCUGUAGUCAUGACCGGAUAUUGUAGUUUUAUCCAUCAAGGUUGUAAAUUAAUUCUUAAUUUGUGCUCCUUCAGUGUUGAAAGAAUGCCUGUUCAUUAUUCAGCUAUGGCAUAAUUUUAUAAUCGAGGACACAGAUUGGACAGGAUGUUCGUCUCAAAGUGGCCGUUAUGGUAUGUUAGCCUUCUUUUGAAAAUCUACCUGUUGUUGCUUCGGUUUGUGACGUGCACUAGGGUUCAUGUUUUCAUGUUCAAAUUUGUGUAGAAUACCAUGGAAUACACGCAGCUGUACAUGUCACAUGUUUUUGGUCUUUAAACAGCAUUUACUAAAUCUGAAAAUGUACUGAGGCCAGGAUAUAAUUGUGAAGUAUGUGCUUUUACAUUUCUUUUUGCUAUUUAUAUUGAACUAAUUUGAAUAUCCUGGUAGGCAAAUUCAGUAUUUGUCACAUAACUCACAUCUUGGAUUGAUGAAUUGCUUGCAGACUCUACAAAAUGUAAUUAAGUUCUGAGUCACCAGAAGGUUGCUCAGUGUCCGGUUUAAUAAUAGAUUCAGAUUCAGCAUGUUCUGAUCUCAGACCUCAGCGGUGCUGUUUGUUGCCUACCUUGUGUAAAACCAUCAAAUUGGAAGACUGACCAAAGAAAGUGAACAUUGCCAUGCAAGUACUGUAAAUAUCUGAUGUUUGUUUUUGUACUUUUGUUUAAAAUAAAAUGUACAUUCGGAAAAGUUA
Molecule: non-coding RNA, 1834 nt
Organism: Paralichthys olivaceus (Japanese flounder)
Lineage: Eukaryota; Metazoa; Chordata; Actinopteri; Pleuronectiformes; Paralichthyidae
Source: RefSeq, a predicted model, not a curated record